GGGAAGGUAGCUCAGCCUGGGAGAGCGCUACGCUGAAGACGUAGAUGUCGUGGGUUCAAAUCCCACUCUUCCCA
Molecule: transfer RNA, 74 nt
Filed under: archaeon
Lineage: Archaea
Description: tRNA-Phe
Rfam family: tRNA
About the family: Transfer RNA (tRNA) molecules are approximately 80 nucleotides in length. Their secondary structure includes four short double-helical elements and three loops (D, anti-codon, and T loops).
Source: RNAcentral